UUGGUGAACCAGCGGAGGGAUCAUUACUGAGUUUACGCUCUAUAACCCUUUGUGAACAUACCUACAACUGUUGCUUCGGCGGGUAGGGUCUCCGCGACCCUCCCGGCCUCCCGCCCCCGGGCGGGUCGGCGCCCGCCGGAGGAUAACCAAACUCUGAUUUAACGACGUUUCUUCUGAGUGGUACAAGCAAAUAAUCAAAACUUUUAACAACGGAUCUCUUGGUUCUGGCAUCGAUGAAGAACGCAGCGAAAUGCGAUAAGUAAUGUGAAUUGCAGAAUUCAGUGAAUCAUCGAAUCUUUGAACGCACAUUGCGCCCGCCAGCAUUCUGGCGGGCAUGCCUGUUCGAGCGUCAUUUCAACCCUCAAGCUCUGCUUGGUGUUGGGGCCCUACAGCUGAUGUAGGCCCUCAAAGGUAGUGGCGGACCCUCCCGGAGCCUCCUUUGCGUAGUAACUUUACGUCUCGCACUGGGAUCCGGAGGGACUCUUGCCGUAAAACCCCCCAAUUUUCCAAAGGUUGACCUCGGAUCAUGUAGGAAUACCCGCUGAACUUAG
RNAcentral lists this unclassified non-coding RNA (551 nucleotides) under Colletotrichum gloeosporioides. RNAcentral's name for it is "contains 18S rRNA, ITS1, 5.8S rRNA, ITS2 and 28S RNA". The stretch from base 199 to 352 matches the Rfam family "5.8S ribosomal RNA". The record is from RNAcentral. Lineage: Eukaryota; Fungi; Ascomycota; Sordariomycetes; Glomerellales; Glomerellaceae.